Molecule: ribosomal RNA, 437 nt
Filed under: uncultured bacterium
Lineage: Bacteria
Description: bacterial SSU rRNA
Rfam family: Bacterial small subunit ribosomal RNA
Source: RNAcentral
GGACCCGCACAAGCGGUGGAACAUGUGGUUUAAUCGAUGAUACGCGAAGAACCUUACCUGGGUUUGACAUGUUAGUGAAAGUUUUCUGAAAAGAAUUCCCUUUAAGAGCUUGCUCUUAAACACUAUCACAGGUGGUGCAUGGCUGUCGUCAGCUCGUGUCGUGAGAUGUUAGGUUAAGUCCUGCAACGAGCGCAACCCCUAUAUUUAGUUGCCAGCAUUUAGUUGGGCACUCUAGAGAGACUGCCGGUGAUAAACCGGAGGAAGGUGUGGAUGACGUCAAGUCAUCAUGCCCCUUACAUCCUGGGCUACACACGUACUACAAUGCUACGGACAGAGGGCAGCAAGUUCGCGAGGACAAGCAAAUCCCAUAAACCGUGGCUCAGUUCAGAUCGUAGGCUGCAACUCGCCUACGUGAAGGCGGAAUCGCUAGUAAUCGC